Molecule: long non-coding RNA, 1788 nt
Organism: Brassica rapa (field mustard)
Lineage: Eukaryota; Viridiplantae; Streptophyta; Magnoliopsida; Brassicales; Brassicaceae
Source: RefSeq, a predicted model, not a curated record
GAUAAGAGAGAAACAUACCACAGAGCGCGCGCGCGGCGAUGGAGGAAGGAGGAGACUGAUCGUCGGAGGAGGAAUGGAUUCGUACAGAUGACGCAGCUUCUUAGAAAAAAAAGGAGAGGUUUUUGAGAGAAAAAAGUUGCUUCCUUUUUUUUCUUUUUAUUUGUUGCAAUGGAAGAGGAAGAGGAUCGGUUUUUAUAUUUAAAAAAGAGAGAAAAGCAAAUAAUCAUAUCAUCAAAGGAAAAAUUAGGACGAAACAUGCGAUUAAUAGCGGCGGUUGUGCACGUUGCCGGGAAAUUUAGACCAUUUUCACCGGCUACCGGUGGAACCCGUUCAAUGUUCUUUUGCCGACUACACCCAUUUAUUAUGUGUCCCUGACUCGUGAUUAGGCAUAUUCCCUGUUAUUAUGGGUUGCAUUUUUCAAAUUUCAAACCUUUCACGACAGGUCGAAGCUGAUGAAGAAACCUUUUUUUUUUCUUUUCUUUUGGUUACUUGAUAAUGGGCCUAUUUUAGAUGGGCCUCGACUGGAUUUACCAACAAACUUGUGUGUCCAUCUUAUUAUAUACUUUAUGAUUUGUUAUUUCAGAAGAUGACCUUUGUACGUAUAUUCAAGAAAAGUGACGCAUUGUUUCGGAUACCGUUCCGUUUGGAUCGAGUAUUUCGGAUUUCGGAUAUUUUAUUAUAAAAGUUUAGAACCUGUUAAUUUUAUAUACCGGGCCGGAUUCGAAUAUCCCUAUUUCGGGUUUGGGUAUUUAUAGUGUAUACUUUGCAGAUAAAAAAAUUAGUAUUUUGUAGGUGCUUAAAAAUGUGGAGAAAAGAAAUAUUGUAAUGGCCAGAAUGAGAAGAAAGUUAAGAUGUACCAAUGAGAUCUCUUUACACAUCUUUAUUCUUUCUUUCUUCUUCUUAAUUAAGAAUUCACCUCACACAAACAAACGUGCUUUGAUCUCACUCUUGAAAUCAGAUGCAGAAGAAAAGCAAAGCUUUUCAAAAUUUUAAGAUCUCUAUAGAACCACUAGGAAAACUUCGAUGCAAUCAAAUUCUACAUAAUUAAAUCAAUCUCAAUUUUAAAUAGGCUUAGCUUUGUUUCAACAAUUUCAACAGAUUGCACAGUCGGCUAAACUAAAUGGAGAAUGAGAGAUGUAGAUUUAAUGUUAUAUAUAUGUAUGUUCGGGUAUCCGAUAUAAUUAACCGAUUGGGUUCGGUUAUCUGGACAUGCUCAUAUCAAAACAUGUUUAACUACUUUGCUAUUUUGGUUGUAUCGGGUAAAAUACCCAGACCUAUUUUGAACCAUUACAAAAUCAAGUUCUUUAUAUCUUAAAGUAGUAAUAGUGAAUGGUAAUGUCAACACAAAAUAAGUGUUCACUUUCAUGUACGUUGGACUAGAGUUAUCCGAUUUUAGUUUAUUACUUUAAUCUCUUAAUCCUCUUCAUAUUGCUAACCUGAAUCAGAUGAAACUUAUAAGUUGAAGUAUUGAACCAUUGUAGAGUAUCUAAAUCUUUGUAACAUUUUAUUUUCUGAAAAUGAUGAUGGUAAUAAAAAAGGAAAAUUAAAAGCAGGCAAAAACAAUAUGAUUUCAUUAAGAUUGUUUUCCCCGAUCACACAAACAUUCAUUCACAUAUAUCCCCACACUGAUGCCAGAAAUUAGAAAAAGACAAUAAGAAAUUGAAACUUGCCAAAUUUGUACACACACCAUAACAACCAUUUUGUAAUUGUUUUUCUUAGGCCGCACUUCUGAAGGACCCGAGGGAUUUGGAACCGGAAGCUCUUAGGACGAAUUGGUGGUAAAAUGCA